CCUACGGUCGACAGCAGUGAGGAAUAUUGGUCAAUGGGCGCGAGCCUGAACCAGCCAAGUCGCGUGAGGGAAGACGGUCCUAUGGAUUGUAAACCUCUUUUGCCGGGGAGCAACGGGCGUCACGUGUGGCGCCACUGAGAGUACCCGGAGAAAAAGCAUCGGCUAACUCCGUGCCAGCAGCCGCGGUAAUACAGAGGAUGCGAGCGUUAUCCGGAUUUAUUGGGUUUAAAGGGUGCGUAGGCGGAUCGUUAAGUCAGUGGUCAAAUUGAGGGGCUCAACCCCUUCCCGCCAUUGAAACUGGCGUUCUUGAGUGGAAGAGAAGUAUGCGGAAUGCGUGGUGUAGCGGUGAAAUGCAUAGAUAUCACGCAGAACCCCGAUUGCGAAGGCAGCAUGCCGGCUUCCGACUGACGCUGAAGCACGAAAGCGUGGGGAUCGAACAGGAUUAGAUACCCGGGUAGUC
Molecule: ribosomal RNA, 460 nt
Filed under: uncultured bacterium
Lineage: Bacteria
Description: partial 16S ribosomal RNA
Rfam family: Bacterial small subunit ribosomal RNA
Source: RNAcentral